UUACCAAACGAAGGCGUCUAGCCUGGAUAGCAGCCGUGAGACGAGUUGAUAUCAAGUUCUGUUACGUCUCCAGAUAUCAGCUGGUGUGCUCACGACAUUUUCAUUCCGGGAAGCCUGCCUAUGAAAUGGAUCAAACAAAUCCAGACCGGGUACCAACGCUACACAUGGGGCACUCCGAAACCCGAACAUCACAUUCAGACCGUCACAGGAGGCGAACACAACGUCAACAAAAUAAAGUACUAUUUGGAGGCUUUGACAAUGGAGCAGCAGAGUGUGAAGGUGAAGCCUCAGCAGAAGUUACCACAGAAGAGCAGCCAGAGAUGGACACCACCGAAGAGCAACACCAUAACAACCUUGUUAUUUUGGCUGAGGGACAAAUUUGUGCUGGACAAGUAGAAGCAGAGGUAACGGGUGCAGAUGCAGAAAACAUUGAUAUCAGAGAGAAACAGACAGAAGAUCAACAACUGACAAAUGAUUGUGUGCGCUGUGUACAGAGCAGAGCAGAAAUAAACCGGCUGCUGGAGGAGAACAGAAAGCUUAAAUCAAAGUUGGACAAGACAGAGCUGAAUGAAAACUUUUUAAAGGGUGACACGGAAAAAGUGAAAUAUUACACCGGUUUUACUUGUUUUGCUAUUUUUAUGUCCGUGCUCGAGAAUGUAAAAGCUUUCCUACCAGCAUCAAAGAAACUGUCACAUUUCCAAAUGCUUUUACUCACACUUAUGCGACUUAGACUUGAUCUUCCUGUUCAGCAUCUUAGUUAUCUAUUCAAAGUCUCCCACAAAACUCUUUCUUCUGUCUUUUCUGAUACAAUUGACGUGUUGUAUGCCCGCUUUGGAAUACUUGUACACUGGCCAGAGAGGCACUGUUUGCAAGCAACAAUGCCACCAGAAUUUACAGACACUUUUGGAAAUCGUGUAGCCAUCAUUGUAGACUGUUUUGAAAUUCGUACAGAACGACCAUCUAAUUUAAAGGCUCGUGCUCAAACGUACUCACACUACAAGGGUACACACACCAUGAAAUAUCUGAUCGGGAUUACUCCACAAGGUGCAAUUUCAUUCAUUUCUAAGGGGUGGGGGGGCCGUCAUCAGAUAAACACAUCACAGAGCAAUGUGGCAUACUUAACAAGCUGUUACCAGGGGAUGUAGUUUUGGCUGACAGAGGCUUUGACAUCAGAGAUGCGGUGGGAAUGAUGUGUGCGGAGGUAAAGAUCCCAGCAUUUACAAGGGGCUUCUGUGAACUAGAUGCCAAGGACAUAGAAAAUACACGAGCCAUUGCACACCUAAGAAUCCAUGUUGAACGAGUAAUUGGCAGUUUGCGCAACAAAUUUAAAAUGCUACAUACUACCAUGCCAAUCCGUUCUCUUCUUCCAUGUGAGGGUGAAGACGUUACAUUCCUUGAUAAAAUUGUGAGGGUGUGUUGUGUUUUGGUUAACAUGUGCCCCAGUGUGGUAGUGAAACCAGGCACACAUGAGACUUGUACUUGUUAA
Non-coding RNA from Maylandia zebra (zebra mbuna), 1486 nucleotides. NCBI's taxonomy places the organism in Eukaryota, Metazoa, Chordata, Actinopteri, Cichliformes, Cichlidae. The record is from RefSeq and is a predicted model, not a curated record.